RNAcentral lists this non-coding RNA (111 nucleotides) under Corynebacterium glucuronolyticum. Its description in RNAcentral is "TPP sequence". It matches the Rfam family "TPP riboswitch aptamer (THI element)". From Rfam's summary of the family: Vitamin B(1) in its active form thiamin pyrophosphate (TPP) is an essential coenzyme that is synthesised by coupling of pyrimidine and thiazole moieties in bacteria. The previously detected thiamin-regulatory element, thi box was extended, resulting in a new, highly conserved RNA secondary structure, the THI element, which is widely distributed in eubacteria and also occurs in some archaea. Lineage: Bacteria; Bacillati; Actinomycetota; Actinomycetes; Mycobacteriales; Corynebacteriaceae. The record is from RNAcentral.
AUUGCGCACCACGGGAGCUGACAGGAAAUCCUGUCGGCUGAGAUGCCUCGCGGCGAACCGUAGAACCUGAUCCGGGUAAUACCGGCGAGAGGAAGGGAUAACUUUCAUGAA